GACGAACGCUGGCGGCGUGCUUAACACAUGCAAGUCGAACGCUGAAGCUUGGUGCUUGCUCUGGGUGGAUGAGUGGCGAACGGGUGAGUAAUACGUGAGUAACCUGCCCUUGACUCUGGGAUAAGCCUGGGAAACUGGGUCUAAUACUGGAUACGACAUGUCACCGCAUGGUGGUGUGUGGAAAGGGUUUUACUGGUUUUGGAUGGGCUCACGGCCAAUCAGCUUGUUGGUGGGGUAAUGGCUCACCAAGGCGACGACGGGUAGCCGGCCUGAGAGGGUGACCGGCCACACGGGGACUGAGGCACGGCGCAGACUGCAACGGGAGGCAGCAGUGGGGAAUAUUGCACAAUGGGCGGAAGCGUGAUGCAGCGGCGCCGGGUGCGGGAUGACGGCCUUCGGGGUGUAAACCUCUUUCAGAGCGGAAGAAGCGAAAGUGACGGUACGUGCAGAAGAAGCGCCGGCUAACUACGUG
Molecule: ribosomal RNA, 472 nt
Filed under: uncultured bacterium
Lineage: Bacteria
Description: partial 16S ribosomal RNA
Rfam family: Bacterial small subunit ribosomal RNA
Source: RNAcentral